UACAGAGGGUGCAAGCGUUGCUCGGAUUUACUGGGCGUAAAGCGUACGCAGACGGUGAGAAAGGUCGGAUGUGAAAGCCCCGGGCUCAACCCGGGAACUGCAUCCGAAACCAUCUCGCUAGAGUAUGAGAGAGGGAAGCGGAAUUCCUGGUGUAGAGGUGAAAUUCGUAGAUAUCAGGAGGAACAUCUGCGGCGAAGGCGGCUUCCUGGCUCAUUACUGACGUUCAGGUACGAAAGCGUGGGUAGCAAACAGG
RNAcentral lists this ribosomal RNA (253 nucleotides) under uncultured bacterium. Its description in RNAcentral is "partial 16S ribosomal RNA". It matches the Rfam family "Bacterial small subunit ribosomal RNA", at positions 524 to 776 of the family's 1533-position model. The record is from RNAcentral.